Molecule: long non-coding RNA, 565 nt
Filed under: Lathyrus oleraceus (garden pea)
Lineage: Eukaryota; Viridiplantae; Streptophyta; Magnoliopsida; Fabales; Fabaceae
Description: Pisum sativum (pea) long non-coding RNA (PSAT_LNC001388)
Source: RNAcentral
AAAAAUUGGGUAACAGAGGGUUUUGAACUCGGUAAUCAUAUUGUGUACUUUUUCUUCUUUUCCUGUGCAUCACAUAUGUUUUUGGGGUAAAAACUCUUUUGACUCUUUUUCUACUCAAAUUUCCGAGCAUUUCAUAUCUGUUGAACUCUAAGGUCUCGGCAAGUGCAAUUUUUUCUUUUCUUAUUUUCUUUUUUUUCUUUCCGUGCCUUUCAUAUCUCUAAGGUCUCGGCAAGUGCAUUUUUUUCUUUUCUUAUUUUCUUUUUUUUCUUAUAAAGGACAUACAUACUGUUUUUCUUUUUUUUUUGUUUUUUUUUUUUUUGUUUUGUAUGAUCUCAUCUUAUGCACUUGCCUUCCCUUUCAAAAUUUUCACCCCAAACUUAUUUUCAUUGCACAUCUUGCAAUUCACACAAUCAUACCGAGUUAUGACACAAAAGGGAAUGGAUAAUUAAAAGUUAACAGGGGGUUUACGAUGAAUAAUGGUUAAACGUUAACAUGGGGUUUACAAUGAAUAAAAUGGCUAAGGCUCAACGGGGUUUACGAAGGGAAACAUACAUAUAGGGAUGGC